AUUAGCUUAGAAGCAUGCUAUAGUCAGUUCUAUUUAAAUUAAUUAUGAGUUGAGUUGCCUUUGUGGCUGCCUAUGAAGGGCUCUCCAAAUCUAUUAUUUAUGAGCUCCUCUUUCGGUUAGCAUGCUGCCUUAGAAGGUAGCUACCUAUGUAGGCAGUAUUCUAGCUUUUUGGAUCAGUUGAACUGUAUGGUUUAUAGUGCCAUUGUAUUUCUAUAGCACUCAAAUGUCACAUGAUUAUUAAAAAAACGACCCAACCAGAGCUCCACAAAUAGGAGUUGAAUUCAUGUCUCAGCGUUGACACUGACCUUUUGGGAAAUAUAUGACACAUUUUCUCUUGAGGCUUCUUUGUGUUAGUACAGACAAGUUUAGAAGUCAAACUCAGACAUGAAAAUCAAUAAAAUAACCUCUGGGACAAAGUUUCCUUUUUGUUCAAACAUUGCUAUUGAAAACCCAUAAUAGAUACUCACUGAGCCAUUUGUGAAGGUACAUGCUAAUUAGCUGAGAGAUAGAACAGACAAAACAAACCUAAAUGAUCUUAAAAACUACAGUAAAGUCAAAUGUUAGGAUACAACUUUUAUGAUGUAACAAAAAAAUAAUAAAUGUGAUGUUUAUCAAGAUAUUUCUGCUGUAGAGCUCACAAAUCAAUCUAAGACAGUGCUGAAUCUAGCUUGACUGACAGAUAAGAGCUCUGCGUUUCAGUUCAGCAUUUCGAUCGCUUGUUUGUCUGUGAUUCCCACUGUUCUGAAUCGGUGCCGGAGGCUCUUCGUAGGCAGAGGUUUGCGUGUUAUCUAAUUCCAUGCUGUUAUGGUUCACUUUGCUGAUGCUGUUGCAACAUCUCUGAUGCAACAGAAAUUAUGCACAGUUGAAU
Long non-coding RNA from Sinocyclocheilus grahami, 868 nucleotides. RefSeq lists it as uncharacterized. The transcript is spliced from 3 exons. The record is from RefSeq and is a predicted model, not a curated record. Lineage: Eukaryota; Metazoa; Chordata; Actinopteri; Cypriniformes; Cyprinidae.